Molecule: non-coding RNA, 75 nt
Filed under: Paucilactobacillus nenjiangensis
Lineage: Bacteria; Bacillati; Bacillota; Bacilli; Lactobacillales; Lactobacillaceae
Description: TPP riboswitch (THI element)
Rfam family: TPP riboswitch aptamer (THI element)
About the family: Vitamin B(1) in its active form thiamin pyrophosphate (TPP) is an essential coenzyme that is synthesised by coupling of pyrimidine and thiazole moieties in bacteria. The previously detected thiamin-regulatory element, thi box was extended, resulting in a new, highly conserved RNA secondary structure, the THI element, which is widely distributed in eubacteria and also occurs in some archaea.
Source: RNAcentral
UACAUCUGGGGUGCCCACUUGGCUGAGAUAUACCCAUUGAACCUGCUCUGGUUAAUACCAGCGAAGGGAGAUAAC